AUUCUCUUAGUAUAACUAAUAUAACUGACUUCCAAUCAGUAGAUUCUGAGAUAAACGGAAGAGAAUA
This 67-nucleotide transfer RNA is filed under the name Hylomyscus denniae vulcanorum. RNAcentral describes it as "tRNA-Gly". It matches the Rfam family "tRNA". Rfam says of the family: Transfer RNA (tRNA) molecules are approximately 80 nucleotides in length. The record is from RNAcentral. Lineage: Eukaryota; Metazoa; Chordata; Mammalia; Rodentia; Muridae.